Molecule: ribosomal RNA, 447 nt
Filed under: uncultured bacterium
Lineage: Bacteria
Description: bacterial SSU rRNA
Rfam family: Bacterial small subunit ribosomal RNA
Source: RNAcentral
AGCGAACGCUAGCGGCAGGCUUAACACAUGCAAGUCGAACGAAGUUCUUCGGAACUUAGUGGCGAACGGGUGAGUAACACGUAGGUAAUGUACCCUUUGGUGGAGGAUAACUCAGGGAAACCUGAGCUAAUACUGCAUAUGUCCUUCGGGAUAAAAGUCUUCGGACGCCUUAGGAGCAGCCUGCGGCCCAUUAUCUAAUCCUAGUUGGUAGGGUAACGGCCUACCAAGGGUACGAUGGGUAGCUGGUCUGAGAGGAUGAUCAGCCACACUGGGACUGAGACACGGCCCAGACUCCUACGGGAGGCAGCAGUGGGGAGUAUUGCGCAAUGGGGGAAACCCUGACGCAGCCAUGCCGCGUGUGUGAUGAAGGCCCUCGGGUCGUAAAGCACUGUCGGGAGGGACGAAGAUCUGACGGUACCUCGCAAGAAAGCACCGGCUAACUCCGUG